RNAcentral lists this ribosomal RNA (468 nucleotides) under uncultured bacterium. RNAcentral describes it as "partial 16S ribosomal RNA". It matches the Rfam family "Bacterial small subunit ribosomal RNA", at positions 28 to 507 of the family's 1533-position model. The record is from RNAcentral.
GACGAACGCUGGCGGCGUGCUUAACACAUGCAAGUCGAACGGAAAGGCCCUGCUUUUGUGGGGUGCUCGAGUGGCGAACGGGUGAGUAACACGUGAGUAACCUGCCCUUGACUUUGGGAUAACUUCAGGAAACUGGGGCUAAUACCGGAUAUGGGCUCCUGCUGCAUGGUGGGGGUUGGAAAGUUUCGGCGGUUGGGGAUGGACUCGCGGCUUAUCAGCUUGUUGGUGGGGUAGUGGCUUACCAAGGCUUUGACGGGUAGCCGGCCUGAGAGGGUGACCGGCCACAUGGGGACUGAGAUACGGCCCAGAAUCGUACGGGAGGCAGCAGUGGGGAAUAUUGCACAAUGGGCGAAAGCCUGAUGCAGCAACGCCGCGUGCGGGAUGACGGCCUUCGGGUUGUAAACCGCUUUCGCCUGUGACGAAGCGUGAGUGACGGUAAUGGGUAAAGAAGCACCGGCUAACUACGUG